GUCCACGUGAAGGGGAGCAAUCCCCCGGUAGGGUGGCAAACGGGCGAUUAAUACAUGGGCGAUCUACCUUAGGGAUGGGGAUAUCCUUCCGAAAGGAGGGGCAAUACCGAAUAUUGUCCGGAGCCGUGAAGGGUUCCGGGGAAAGGGAGGCCUCUGAUACUUUCUUUCGCCUUAAGAUGAGCCCAUGGCCCAUCAGCUAGUUGGUAGGGUAAAGGCCUACCAAGGCUACGACGGGUCGCUGGUCUGAGAGGACGACCAGCCACACUGGCACUGAGAUACGGGCCAGACUCCUACGGGAGGCAGCAGUGAGGAGUAUUGCGCAAUGGGGGAAACCCUGACGCAGCAACGCCGCGUGUGGGAAGAAGGCCUUCGGGUCGUAAACCACUUUUGCACGGGACGAAAAAGGGAUAUCGAACAAAUAUCCCCGAUGACGGUACCGUGAGAAUAAGCCACGGCUAACUCUGUGCCAGCAGCCGCGGUAAAUACAGAGGUGGCAAGCGUUGUUCGGAAUUACUGGGCGUAAAGAGUCUGUAGGUGGUUUGUCAAGUCUUUGGUGAAAGGCCGUAUCUUUGACUAUGGGGAAUGCC
RNAcentral lists this ribosomal RNA (587 nucleotides) under uncultured bacterium. Its description in RNAcentral is "bacterial SSU rRNA". It matches the Rfam family "Bacterial small subunit ribosomal RNA", at positions 61 to 625 of the family's 1533-position model. The record is from RNAcentral.